AGUGGCGGGCGGGUGAGUAACGCGUGGGUAACCUGCCUCAUACAGGGGGAUAACAGUUAGAAAUGACUGCUAAUACCGCAUAAGACCACAGCACCGCAUGGUGCAGGGGUAAAAACUCCGGUGGUAUGAGAUGGACCCGCGUCUGAUUAGGUAGUUGGUGGGGUAACGGCCUACCAAGCCGACGAUCAGUAGCCGACCUGAGAGGGUGACCGGCCACAUUGGGACUGAGACACGGCCCAA
RNAcentral lists this ribosomal RNA (240 nucleotides) under uncultured bacterium. RNAcentral's name for it is "partial 16S ribosomal RNA". It matches the Rfam family "Bacterial small subunit ribosomal RNA", at positions 94 to 334 of the family's 1533-position model. The record is from RNAcentral.